GAGUAAGUGAAUAAGGGCGCACGGGGGAUGCCUAGGCUCUCAGAGGCGAAGAAGGACGUGCCAAGCUGCGAAAAGCCGCGGGGAUCGGCUGAGGC
This 95-nucleotide ribosomal RNA is filed under the name Algoriphagus marincola. Its description in RNAcentral is "partial 23S ribosomal RNA". It matches the Rfam family "Bacterial large subunit ribosomal RNA", at positions 1 to 95 of the family's 2925-position model. The record is from RNAcentral. Lineage: Bacteria; Pseudomonadati; Bacteroidota; Cytophagia; Cytophagales; Cyclobacteriaceae.